GGAAUAUUGCACAAUGGGCGAAAGCCUGAUGCAGCGACGCCGCGUGAGGGAUGACGGCCUUCGGGUUGUAAACCUCUUUCAGUAGGGAACAAGGCCAGGCAUUGUCUGGUUGAGGGUACUUGCAGAAGAAGCGCCGGCUAACUACGUGCCAGCAGCCGCGGUAAUACGUAGGGCGCAAGCGUUAUCCGGAAUUAUUGGGCGUAAAGAGCUCGUAGGCGGUUUGUCGCGUCUGCCGUGAAAGUCCGGGGCUCAACUCCGGAUCUGCGGUGGGUACGGGCAGACUAGAGUGAUGUAGGGGAGACUGGAAUUCCUGGUGUAGCGGUGAAAUGCGCAGAUAUCAGGAGGAACACCGAUGGCGAAGGCAGGUCUCUGGGCAUUAACUGACGCUGAGGAGCGAAAGCAUGGGGAGCGAACAGGAUUAGAUACCCCUG
Molecule: ribosomal RNA, 431 nt
Filed under: uncultured Arthrobacter sp.
Lineage: Bacteria; Bacillati; Actinomycetota; Actinomycetes; Micrococcales; Micrococcaceae
Description: bacterial SSU rRNA
Rfam family: Bacterial small subunit ribosomal RNA
Source: RNAcentral